This 1244-nucleotide long non-coding RNA is filed under the name Marmota monax (woodchuck). The record is from RNAcentral. Lineage: Eukaryota; Metazoa; Chordata; Mammalia; Rodentia; Sciuridae.
CCCCCGGGACGGAAUUUGCGGAGUAUUUAUUUAACACUCUAUACGAGAUUGUUCCUAGCCCGUCUCUCUUUUUUCUUCUUUUGGUUCCUGGAAUUGAACCCAAGGCACUUAACCACUGAGCCACAUCCCCACCCCUCUUUUUUUCUAUUUUAUUUAGAGACAAGGACUUGCUUGAGUUUUUUAGGGCCUCUCUAAGUUGCUGAGGCUGGCUUUGAACUCGCGAUCCUCCUGCCUCGGCCUCCCAAGCCGCGGGGAUUGCAGGCGUGCGCCACCGCGCGGCUCCUCACCGGCCGUUAAGUGCUGACUUUCUCCAGGAUGCCUUUCCGAGGGGAUUCCUAAGGCUCUGGCUUAGGGCUCUGAAUCAGGGGGACAGGGGAGUGAAUUAUUCACUCAGUGAACUCAGGCUCUUGGACUGUGCCUGGCCCUAUAGUGAAUUUCACAACCAGCAGAACAGGCCUUCCGGAAGCUAACGUUUUAAUUUGCAAGGACAGAAUUUACAUACCAAAAACAUUGCAAAGGUUUUGAAUGAUUGAAAGAAGUUCAAGUGUAGAGGCACUGGAGUGUGGUAUUGCUGGCGACAGGGACACAGGCCAGGUGCAGGGAACUGGUGCAGAGGAACCAGGGAAAAUGCAGGUCACAGAGGGCCACCAAGGCCAGGCAGAGGCAAGCUGUCGAACCCUGAGGAAGCCAUUACCGUCCCCUUGGUAGAAAGAGUCCUUUGAUAUGUUCAGGGGGAUUGGAAUGGGGACAGGAAGACCAAUUAAGGGACUCUUCUAGGUUAACAGUUGUGUCGGCUGAUGGCAGUGGGUGAAUUUUAUUUAGGAAAUGAUUUGGUCCUGGAUUGGUUGUGGUGGUUGCUGAGGUUUGAAUGUGUCCUCCCAAAAUUCAUAUAUUGGAAACUUAAACCCCAAAUUCAUGUGUUAAUGGUAAUUGGAGGUGAGGCCUUAGGGACUUAAUUAGGAUUACGUCGGGGGUAGAUCGUAGGGGGUGCCUCACGAUGUCAUUAAUGGCUUUUUGAGAGGAAGAGAGACUCCAUUCCCACACUUGCCUGCAGCGCCCUCCACCGAGUUGUGAUGCAGUGCGGGGCCCUUGCCAGCUGCUGCUCCAGGCUCUGGGACUUCCCAGCCUCCGGAACUAUGAUCCAAAUAAACUUCUAUUCUUUAUAAAUUUUCCAGUCUCAGGUAUUUUGUUACAGCAACAGAAAAUGGACUUAGAUAGUGGUGACAGGAAGAGAGGUGUCAAAG